UAAUCAACCUCUUGCUCUGGAAUACCCCGGGGAAACUCGGAUCAAUGCCAGAUAAAGUGCGGUGCUGUCGGGCGCCGUACCAAAGAUAGCUUCGGCCUUCGGCGAGAGACGAGUCCGCGGCCCAUUAGCUAGUUGGCGGGGUAAUGGCCCACCAAGGCUACGAUGGGUAGCUGGUCUGAGAGGAUGAUCAGCCACACUGGGACUGAGACACGGCCCAG
Molecule: ribosomal RNA, 218 nt
Filed under: uncultured bacterium
Lineage: Bacteria
Description: partial 16S ribosomal RNA
Rfam family: Bacterial small subunit ribosomal RNA
Source: RNAcentral